GAAGUCCCGGACCAACUACGACUGUGGCCGCCCCGCCGUCUCCGCUUUUCGGCUUUCUCACACAGCUAACGACCCGUUACCCACCGUCCGCCUCCAAAUGCUACUCUAUUCAUCCCAGCCCACCUCGAGGGCGGGGCCUCCCCAGAGACGCAUUUUCAUUGGACCGACGGAACCGCCUGCGCAGACGCUGCCCUCCAAUUGGACACAGGACUGUGGAAGGGAAUGAGACCUGCGUUGUCCCUAGAGCUGCGCAGCCAUUGGCUGAGGAAGAGACGAUGGGGAGUCAUCUCGCGCAUGCGCACGCUUCGGUACUCUUGCACGGGGCAGUAAUGCUCUAGGGUGGUGUUCCGGGGCCGUGAGUCGAUACUUUGCCUUUAGUUUGGGGCUUACCGGUGCCUCUGGGCUAGUACCGCUGUCCACUCCUGUUCAGUUGCGGCGGUAGUAGCGGCGGGAGUUCCGAGGUCCGGGGGCCCGCCUGGUUCUCCCGGUGGACUUCCAGGCUCCGUAGCAGCAACUCUGAGCUGCUUCUCCACAGGUUAGAGACGGCCCUCCUGGGCCCCCGAGGCCCUGGUGACCUUGGCAGGUUGGGCCUCCGGCUCUUCACCUUUGCAGCCCCCGGCCUUUUCCUUCCGCCAGAGCUUAGCAUUUUCCUUUAAUGGAGGUCUCUCAUCCUGCUGCGCCUCUAACUGGCUGUAUUACCUUGUGCAGGUCUCUUGCCUUCCCUGAACCACAGCUCCCCUCUGGGUCAAAUGAGGUUGGUCUCUAUGAUUACUCCAAGUUCCCUCCCAGCUGUGGUUCUACGAACCUGUGCUCCCAUCCUCUUCUGUCACUGGAGCCUCCAUACUUAAAUGGAGUUGGGAGCACCAGCAGCAAUAACUUGGCUGUGUUUUCAGAACUGUAGAAUAAAGAAAACUACAGAUACUACUAGCCUGUCAGACACAAGUAGAAGAUUACAGAUCCUGAUCACCAGGUUGGGAGUGCCCAGAGCCUUGACCUCGAUGUGGUCAGCUCCAGCCUUUGCUAACAUCCUUACUCUCCUGUGCCUGGAGGAAGACUGGGUAGCCCUCUUGGUCUUCUUGGCGAGUAACAUGGAGCAUCCCUGUCCCCUGGGACCCAGUGCAGACUAUGGCUGUGCAGCUGGAUGCCCUGGUUGGUGCCUACACAGUGACAGGCAAUCCUGAUUGCCAAGUUCCUGAAGACAGCAGGGACCUUCUUCACUUUUUUUUUUUGGGUAAGGCAAUUGGGGUUAAGUGACUUGCCCGGGGUCACACAGCUAGUAAGUGUCAAGUGUCUGAGGUUACAUUUGAACUCAGGUCCUCCACUGCCACCUAGCUGCCCCUGUCUUGGUUCUAUCUGUAUCCUCAGGGCUUAGCUCAAUGUUUUGCAUACAGUCAGUGCUUAAUAAAUACCUUUUCAUUCA
RNAcentral lists this long non-coding RNA (1420 nucleotides) under Phascolarctos cinereus (koala). RNAcentral describes it as "lncRNA (ENSPCIG00000037286.1)". Lineage: Eukaryota; Metazoa; Chordata; Mammalia; Diprotodontia; Phascolarctidae. The record is from RNAcentral.